AGUUAGCUGACGAGUCCCAAAUAGGACAAAAUGCGUAGCCUAGAU
Molecule: non-coding RNA, 45 nt
Filed under: Trichobilharzia regenti
Lineage: Eukaryota; Metazoa; Platyhelminthes; Trematoda; Strigeidida; Schistosomatidae
Source: RNAcentral